GGCGCAGUGGCCGCACAGCCGAGCCCGAAGGCGCCCGCCCGCGCUCUGGCUCCCGGGCCCGCCCGGCCGGCCGACCCCCGCCGCGAUGCCUUAGGGCCCCCUGGGCCAUCCGGAGGAGUCAGUCCCAGCCGCCAGCAGUUCCCAAGCAGCGCACAUGCGCCCGGUGGGCUCCCGCUCCGCCUCCGGCUCCUGCUGACGCACCUGGGAACCCCGUCCCCCAGCCUCCCCACCCGACGUCCUGGUCUGCAGCCCCCCGCCUGAGCCAUGGAGGCCCCCGAGGUCCCCGUGGGCUCGCUGAUUGACUUUGGGGCCGAGCCGUCUGCUUCCUCGCCACUGGAGGCGCCGCCCCCGAAGCUGCAGGAUGGGGAUAGCUCCCCGGGAGAGGGAGCCUCGGAGAGCGAGACCACGGAGUCCGCGGACAGCGAGAAUGACAUGGGCGAGUCUCCCUCUCACCCGUCCUGGGGCCAGUACCGCCGCUCCUCCUCCAACGAGUCCUUCUCCUCCAACCAGAGCGCUGACUCGGCCAAGGAUGAGGAGCUGCUCGAGCUCCGCGAGUUCAUGCGCGGCUACGUGGAGAAGAUCUUCUCUGGAGGGGAGGACUUGGACCAGGAGGAGAAAGCCAAGUUUGGCGAGUACUGCAGCAGCGAGAAUGGGAAAGGCCGGGAAUGGUUUGCCCGGUAUGUGAGCGCCCAGCGCUGCAACUCCAAGUGCGUCUCAGAGCCCACCUUCUACCGCCUGGUGCAGUCCUUCGCGGUGGUCCUGUUCGAGUGUCACCAGAUGGAUGACUUCGGGCCCGCCAAGAACCUCAUGACCAUGUGCUUCACCUACUACCACAUCGGUAAACCGCACCUGCUCCCCACGGAGUCCAAGGAGAAGCCGACUGGGAGCAUCGACUCCUACCUGAAGUCAGCCAACAGCUGGUUGGCGGAAAAGAAGGACAUUGCUGAGCGGCUGCUGAAGAACACGUCGGCCAAGACGGAGAAUGUCAAGGGCUUCUUUGGGCUGGAGACCAAGCCCAAGGGACCCCCAGUCAGGAGGAGCGAGGAGGAAGAGGGCAGACCCCAGGAGAAGCCGCGGAAGACGGUGACUGUGUGCAGCCCGGAAGAGGAGAGGAAAGGAGAGAAGAUCUACCUGUACACACACCUGAAGCAGCAGCCCAUCUGGCACACACUGAGGUUCUGGAAUGCAGCUUUUUUUGAUGCUGUCCACUGUGAGAGGAGAAAGCGGUCUCCCACGACCAGAGGGGAUGCUGGAGAGGAGGAGAAGAAGAGGGAGCGGUGGUGCCACAUGACCCAGGAGGAGCGGGAUGACAGCCUGCGGUUCAACGAGAACAUCACCUUUGGGCAGCUGGGGCUGCCUAUUGGGCCCCCGGCUCCCUUCCCUCCCCACCCCCCGCCGCCCCAGGAGGUGGGGGGGGUGCCAGCUCACGGCCAUGUCCCCCCAGCACGUUUACGCACAACAUGCUGGCGUUCGGGCUGAACAAGAAGUUGUGCAAUGACUUUCUGAAGAAGCAGGCAGUGAUCGGCAACCUGGACGAGGAGCAGUACAAGCUGCUGAGCGACCACAUCGAGCAGAUGGCCACUGAGUAGGCCACAGGAGGUGGCCCGAGACGCCCCCAGGAGGACUGCAGCUGGCUGUCACCCCCUCUGCAUGACAUCGGCAGCACCUACGCCGCCCUAGAACUAGCGGUUAGAAGAAUCUGGUUGCCCGUCCUCCCCGCCUCCCUCUGCCUGUGUCUGCUCCCCACCUGCGUGCCAAAGUGCCCCUGGGAUUACACAGCUAAAACCGAGGUGACUGUCCAUACCCCCGAGUGGCAGGCCUGCGAUCUGGGACUGAGGGGGCACAGAAGGAAGGAUGCUGGGUCCCAGGCGGGCACGUGUCCAUCACAGCCUCCUGCUGAGAAGAUGGGGAGUGUGGGAAGGUAGGGAAGGACAGAUGUGAGCUGGCACACGUCAGUCCCAUGCCAGUGACAUGGGAUAGUUGGGAGUAAGGAUCUGGGCCCCUCCCUGCAGGGCGGGACUGGGUUCCUUCCACAGCCAAGCAGAGCGGAGGUGGCCUCUGAGUGUCAAUCUGGGCUGGUACUGGGUCUCCUUUCUGUGUGACAGGAAGCUCCAGGAGGAGAGAGACACCCUCUGUUUCAGGGCAGUAGAGAGUCCGAGGCAGUGGAUGGCUUUCUUGGCUGCAGAAGUCCCAGCCACAGUCAGGGGUGUGGGGUUCCAGGGACGUCACGGCUCCAAGUGGCUGUGUUGGACCCACGCGGCCCUCAGGUAUCUGUGUGAAGCAUCUGAGAUGUUCCUGGUCAGCUGACCGCUUGCUUCUGGGGCAGAGAGACUUCCACCACUCGCUCCCUGGGGCCGUCUUCAUCUGGCCAUGAUGAAGCCCAGAAAAGAGAUUUUUCUUCAGUAGCUUCAAGAGAUCUGCCCUUUCUAAAAGCAAACAGUGCUGCUCUUUAUCUUUAAAAGACAGAAAAAUCUGUGUCAGUUACAGGCAUUGUGGCCCAGGUGGCUUCUGGUGGGGACUGGGCGAUUCACAGGGUCAGGCUCCGGGGCACUGGCCUUGCGAGGCCGGCGGGGCUCUGUCCUUCCUGCCCUAGCCGUCCAUCCCGCGUUCCCGCUCCACCUCCUGCAGUACAACAGACAUGUCUGAGACUCUGCCCUGCAGGCGGCACUUCACAGGUUCCCUCAUGGGGGAUGCCUCCCUGGAACAUUCCAGAGAAGAGCGAGUGUUGGCUGAGCUGAGCAACGCACGUCCUGGUGAUCAUAAGAGAGGCGAUGGGAAACACGCGGGACUCGAGUGCACUGGUGUGAGAUGUCCUGCCAGGAGGCAGGGAGUGGGGGCUUGGGCUCCAGGAUCCCCGCUGUGUUCAUGAUGGCAGGCACACCCGUGUGUGCGUGUGUGUGUGUGUGUGUGUGUGUGUGUGUGUAUGCUGGCAGUCUCUCUGGCCACAUCUCUAAACAAAGCACAGUCAUGUGGCUGGUUUGCCUGUCCUGUGUGGGGGUAGGUCACGCCAGCUGGAUCGGAUAUGUCUCUCCUGAAUGCAGUUCAGAGAAAAUAACAUCCAGCUCACGAGUGUGCAGGCCCUCCUCCAGUGCCUCCUAGAGGCGAUGCUGCUCCUCCUAAGAUGUUCAGCAACCCCCUGAUGCUCUGUGCUGCCCCCCAUUGAAGUCAGGGCCAUGCCCAGUGAGCAGCUUGUCUGAGGCCCUUGAAGGGCCAUCUCUCCACUGCGUGUCAUUGGCUUUCUUAGUUUUUUCUUAGUGGUUAGUUGAAAUGCAUUAACAUUUUAUUCUAAGGUGCCCAAAAGACUUAUCCUUGUAUAUAUAUGAUUUGUGUAGAAGUGUGGUUCACUCUGAUUUCUGGAGGAAGACAGUAGCUUCCGGGUCUUUCCAGGGGUGCUGGGGAGUGGAGGGGUCUUUCCCCCUGGGUGGGGCGGGAGGACCCACGCAAACCAGGAAGGAAAUGCAGCUUUGACUUCUCUGGGCUUUUCCAAGCACUUUCACUUCAGGAUGAUCCUGAGACCUUUUUUUUUUCCCCAUAUAGGUCUCUUGCAAUAGCAGUUGAAGGUAGAAACAAGGGUGGCUUUGGGUCUUUUCCCCUCCCCUUAUUCAUAUAUUAAUAGAUCUAACUCCUGAGAGAGUAAGUCUGACCCCAAAACUGCUGCCGAAACACUGAGCCCCAUGAGGGGACACCACCAGAGACCACGGGCCUCACGGAGUGGCCGACGUCGAGGUGACUGGGAGGCUGCUCUGCUGUCUCCUCUUGGUGACUGUCUUUGUCUGAGCAUGUCACCUCAGGGUGUCUGGCCAGUAUCACCCAGAGGAGGCACAGUGUCCCUAGCAGAAGCUGGCUGCUUGCCUCGCUCACACUUCCUCUCUGUGACUUGAUCUUCCCUGUGAGGCCCGGCCAGAGCAGAUAGCCCCAGGCGGGUGCUCAGAGGUGCCAGUGUGUGCAGAAGUCUCACCCACCGCAUGCCCAGGAGGCUCUGCAGAAAGCGCUCUGCUGGCCCUUCCUGUACACUCAGGGACUUCCUGUAGACUUAGGCUCAGGGCAGGAAGCAUCGGGUCGCAUCCACAGGAGAGUUCCCCAUCCCAGCAUGUUCAGCGUUCCAAGCUGGAGCUUCAAAGGCCUGCGUUAGCAAUGACAUGGCGGGCCUCCUGCUGUCUGCCCUUCAGGGCUCUGUGAACGUAAUGAGCCCAGACAGCUGAUUCUCCCAAGCGAAAAAUACCCUGCUUUGCAAACAGGAUGCUGUUGAGAUGUGGCUUUGUGUAUCUUCAGCCUUUGUUAGAGUUCUAACAAUAUUGAUAGGUGUUUAAGCUGCUGCAAGAGGGACAUGCUAACAUUCAGAUUGUAUCUGCUGUGUGUGCAUGUUUAACCAAAGGCAGAAGAACCAAGUUCUGAUACUGUAAUUUAUUUGUACAGUGAAAUGAAGUAGACCGUGAUUUUCCUAUUGCCAAAAAAAAAAAAAAAAAGGAGCUCUUAAUUUACCAAAAGGAGGACUAGAAAGAGAGUUCAAUUUCUGAGAUUUGUGCUCCAGUGAAACCUCGGAGGGUCAAGGUCACAGGUGAGCCCAUGCUGGGUCAAGGAUGGAGACCCAAGGAUGGAGUUCGCGAUGCCGCCUGACCUCUUUCCUCCUUCCCGGAGCCAGGGCUCACCUGUCCCUCCCCAGUUAGAUGGUGACGUCCACUGCUGUGGAGAGAAGGUGGCAGUCUUGAGGUGUGUUUUUCUGCAGGCUGUUUUAAGUGGGUUAAUUUAUCACCCAGAGCACUGUAUCCUAGCCUCCUGAUGUGAGAAAAAGAUGUGUUCACACCACAAAGGAGUCUGUCAGGGAUUUUGUUGAACCCAGGUGACCACAACCAGAAGUCAGGGCCGCAGCUUUGAGCCUGACCUUCCUGGGUUUCACUGAGGCCUGACCGGUUGGCUUUUCAGUUAAGGAGCAUCUGGCAGGCCCAUGUGUGUGGUCAGAUAAGCUAUGUGGCCAAAUUACCUACAACUUGAGACAGCUGGGAAGCCAGGGGGCAGAGUCAUUUGCCAGAGGAGUGGGGACACUGGGAAGGAAGGGGCCGGGGAAGGGCCCUGCUGCAGCCUCAGGGGAGGGGGCAGCAGCUGGGCCAUCCCAGGCUGGUCACCCCGCUGGCUACUCACUUCUUCAGCCAGGGACAGAGCUGCGGGUUUGGGGGUCCACUGCCCCAGGGUUCUUCUUGUUCCCCCACCCACAGCCUUUUAAUUCCCUUGAGCCGCGGCUCCUACCACUCAGAGGUCUCCCCCCGUCUUCCUGUAAAUCGUUUAUUUCUUUUUAUGACUGUCAAGGGUGAGAGCUGCUUGACAAGCUUUUGACUCUCCCCCCUCCGCACUGCCCCCUGCAGGGGAAUGGUGUUGGCGACAGUUUCCCUAAUUGGCUGGUCUGUGACACUCAGACCUGGGCUGGAGCCCAGCCUUGCUCAAGCCACAUGCCACGGUACCUCCCUGUGGCCACAUGGCCAGGAGCAGGGCUAUGAGGGUUAUCCAGAUAGCAGACGGGGGGAGCAUUUCCAGAUGGUUCCCAUCCAGGUGUACCCAUCCAGGAGCAUCAAGAUGCUCCUCAUGGCUCCCCAGGCCUGUUCUGCCGCCAUCUCUCUGCUGUCCCUCCCCAGGCAAGCGCCUCAGACACGGUCUGCCUUGUCCCUAGGUGGCCUGGCUCUGGCCUGUGUCCCCAAGUCAGCUGGUCAGUCUGAGCUUGAGACGAGCGGAGAGCUGGGGAGAGGACCCUCCCCUUGGCUGUGUCCCCAGGAUUCAGGGGGGCCCUGUUCCUGCUGUAGAGUUCUCAGUCAGAACAGUCUGGGUUUGCUGUGUUCCCAUCACUUCUCACAGGAUCUCUGUGCAGGCGGGGAUGACCUGCAUCCUGACAUGUCCUGCAGGGUCAGACCAGGGUGCUGUUUCCCAUCACCCUCCUGAGUGGUGUGCUGAGCUCAGAGGAGGGCUCCUGCUGGUGAUGCCCCUUGGACCCUUAGGGGGGCUACAUCUGUCCUCUCCUUGGUCCAGGAUGAUACGCUUAUGGAAACAGUGCUCAGUGGGCUUUGUUCCAAUGCAUGGGCCCCACAUGAGGGCCCUGGUCUGUCCCUGUGCUGGAGGCUUGGAGUCCCAUGGACACCUUGAGAAGGACAGGCCAACUGAAGGAGAUGCUCACACUCAGAUGGCAGGCCCUUCCCCUUAAAAUGUGUUGGUGAGAGAGCUUCGUGGCCCUAACCAUGGCCUCUGGGCUGCAGGAGGGUCUCCCACGUGCUUUCCCUGUUUCUCUCCCACCCGUUAGUCUUGGACCCAAACAUCCCAUUGGCCACUUCCACACAUUGCCCUUAGUGACCCAGAAAUCAGGGUCAGUGAUUCGAGUGUGUUAUAUAUAUGGUUUCUCAGUCUUAUAUCCCAUGAGAUUAUGUUCUACAAACUGUGUUUUCAGGUGGAGAAAGUUUAAGAUUGAGCUCUCAAAACCGCGCUAAAAUCAAAGCUGUUUCCUGUGAAGAAAAAAAAAGUCCAUAUAUUGCACCUCAGAUUGUCAAAAGGUGGAAACUGAAAUAAAUUAUCUCUAAAAAGGAAGUCAGUCUGUUGAUGUUCAAUUUUUGUGCUCACAUACCCAUGAGCACCUUUUAAAAAUGGAAUUUGCAAUCUUCUCACUGACAGCAGUGGCUUUUCAGAAGGAACACUUUUCUGGGGUCAAAUAGUCAUUCUCCCCACUUAGGCCGAGCAGCUGAGUAUUAUGCAGAUGUGUGUGUGUCUCAUGGGAAGGCUAAUGGGCAGGAGCCGUGUCCACUGCGUUGCCAUCGGGCAUGUGUGAGUGCAUAGAGGAGCCUUGGCCCCUGGGAUGCCUCCACCCCCUUCCAGCUGGCAUCCUGGCCUUGCCUUUGAGCCCCAGCUGCCUCACUGUUUGUCUCUGGGGGCCGAAGGGCUGUGGGUGCCACUCCUGCCUGGCAGCAACAGGACACCUUCAUGCCAGUUCUCACAGCUCGGUCAACAGGCAUGUUUGGUGAAGUGGUCGACUUCCUCUCUUUCUGAUUAUAGGAGACCCUGAAAGUUAUGCUCCUGCCCUUGCUCACCCCUCCUCCCACCUCCUGGGCCCAAAGGAGGGAAACUAGGAAUUUUGCUGUCAUAGGAGAGAGCCCAUGAAGCUUGGCCAAUGCCCAACUCUGGAAUUAGGAACAAUUGGUCUUUUCCAGGCAUACUGGGACCAGACGGGGAGGGGAGAGGCCCCUUAUGCCAUCAACUUACCUUUAAUGAGCUCACACCAUGUGCCAGGUACCACCAGGCUCCAGGACCACAAGAUGAACAAGC
RNA transcript from Budorcas taxicolor (takin), 7296 nucleotides. It is a transcript of the gene named KIAA0513 ortholog, with no coding region annotated. The record is from RefSeq and is a predicted model, not a curated record. NCBI's taxonomy places the organism in Eukaryota, Metazoa, Chordata, Mammalia, Artiodactyla, Bovidae. The transcript has 13 exons.